UACAGGGGGGGCAAGCGUUGUUCGGAAUUACUGGGCGUAAAGGGCUCGUAGGCGGCCAACUAAGUCACACGUGAAAUCCCCAGGCUUAACCUGGGAACUGCGUGUGAUACUGGAUGGCUUGAAUCCGGGAGAGGGAUGCGGAAUUCCAGGUGUAGCGGUGAAAUGCGUAGAUAUCUGGAGGAACACCGGUGGCGAAGGCGGCUUCCUGGCCUGCAACUGACGCUGAGACGCGAAAGCGUGGGGAGCGAACCGG
This 253-nucleotide ribosomal RNA is filed under the name uncultured bacterium. RNAcentral describes it as "partial 16S ribosomal RNA". It matches the Rfam family "Bacterial small subunit ribosomal RNA", at positions 524 to 776 of the family's 1533-position model. The record is from RNAcentral.